Molecule: long non-coding RNA, 259 nt
Filed under: Panax ginseng (ginseng)
Lineage: Eukaryota; Viridiplantae; Streptophyta; Magnoliopsida; Apiales; Araliaceae
Description: long non-coding RNA (PGIN_LNC004171)
Source: RNAcentral
UGGGUCGUUCGGGUGAUACCUUUGCUCGGUCAGGAGAUGGAGCUGGUCGUUUGGGAGACGGUGACGGGUCUAUAUAUACAUUCUCGGGAGAUGGAGAUCGAAUCGGCACGGAUUCUCGUGGUAGUGAUGGGGCUGAAGCUGCACUAGGAGGAUCGUCAGAAGAACGCUUCCUUUUCUGAGAUAAUGCAGGCACGGUUUCAACUUGUUCUUCCUCAUCAGAAACUCGUAUUUCCACUGGAAUUAUUAAAGGGAGCUUGAU